Molecule: long non-coding RNA, 1150 nt
Organism: Thunnus maccoyii (southern bluefin tuna)
Lineage: Eukaryota; Metazoa; Chordata; Actinopteri; Scombriformes; Scombridae
Exons: 3
Source: RefSeq, a predicted model, not a curated record
CACUGUCUAUUUUUGCUGAGAACCGCGCGCGUGACGCGGAAAAAACUAGACAAGACCCCAAAUCUCUAGAUGAUGCGCGCACAGACCGCAUGAGACGCACGUGCGGGUUAGAAGGAUACAUACCGCAGGAGGUUAAUGACCCCAAAUACACCUCAAACCAUUGCAAGAACUACUUUAAGACCAAAGAAGACCAAGGAGUCCUGACUGCCAUGGGCUUUCCUCCACAGUCACCUGACCUCAACCCCAGUGAACAUUUAUGGGGACACUUGCACAAGACAUCACAAGAAGCUCUUUGGAACAUUGUCAAGUCAUGCUGGGAUAACAGGGCUCAUCAGGUUUUGCACAAACUUGUGGAGUCCAUGCCAGCUCAAGUGCAUGCUGCCAUUAAAGCAAAAGGGGGACAAACCAAAUACUAAGCCUGAUCAAAGGUCUAAUGAGGCAAGAUACCUGAAAACACUGGUGUGAAUGUGCAGGGCCUUUAACUUCUGAAUGGUAAACAGGAAUCUACCAGCAGUGAAGGCGACUCCUUCCCUUUGGACAUUUUCAGACUGCUGGGAAAUGUCCUGUUCCCUAUAACAUCUCCUGGGAAGUAAAAUAUGGAAGUGAGUGAUGUGACACACACAGUAUAGUAACUGUAGUAAUAUAGUCCAUGUUUAGACCUGUUUAGUCUUCUGAAAUGUGUAAAUUACUUAUGUUUCCUUGCAAAAUGUUUCCUUCUUACUUGCAGAAUCUAUUUUAUUUGUAGUGGAAUUUUUGUGCAUAUAUUCAAUUUAUUUUUAACCAUUUAUCAUGUCUAUUGCAUGAAGGAAGGAAAUGUAGGGUGGAAAAUGUUACCAAACUACAGCUGACAGUUUUAGGUCAAUAAUAAUUAAUCAGGGAUAUUAUGGCACAUGCUGAAUUGUAAGGAAAGAACUUGGUCUCACGAAUGAAGAAUUUAAGAUGAUCUCAUUUGUGUAUUCAAAGAUGCAAAAAUUUAAUUUCAGUGAAUGAUGCUACUUAAAAAGUAGAUUUUGGUGCAAGCUGAAUGUUAAACAAGCAGGUUUGCACUGAAAUACUAUAAAACGUAAGGUAAACAAGUUACUGAUAUGUGCACUUGAAAUAAAGUUCAUUAAAUGCAUGUAGGCCAAGGACUGAGGGAAACCAAUAUUGA